UAAGAAACACUACAAUGAUUCCUCCUAGUAAUAAUAUUCCUUCAUCAACUAAUAACCAUAAUGUGCAACCCUGCACUCUCAAAAAAUCACUCAAAACUCAAUAAAUUCCAUCCAACACCAGGAAUAACAGACUUCACUCCAACCAAACUGAAUUCACAGAAUUCCUAUAAUCACAAACUUCCUCUGUCGAAACACACACACACAACUC
RNAcentral lists this long non-coding RNA (208 nucleotides) under Physcomitrium patens. Its description in RNAcentral is "long non-coding RNA (PPAT_LNC001615)". The record is from RNAcentral. Lineage: Eukaryota; Viridiplantae; Streptophyta; Bryopsida; Funariales; Funariaceae.